RNAcentral lists this ribosomal RNA (442 nucleotides) under uncultured bacterium. Its description in RNAcentral is "partial 16S ribosomal RNA". It matches the Rfam family "Bacterial small subunit ribosomal RNA", at positions 338 to 795 of the family's 1533-position model. The record is from RNAcentral.
CCUACGGGCGGCAGCAGUGGGGAAUAUUGGGCAAUGGGCGCAAGCCUGACCCAGCAACGCCGCGUGAAGGAAGAAGGCUUUCGGGUUGUAAACUUCUUUGACAGGGGAAGAGCAGAAGACGGUACCUGACGAAUAAGCCACGGCUAACUACGUGCCAGCAGCCGCGGUAAUACGUAGGUGGCAAGCGUUGUCCGUAUUUACUGGGUGUAAAGGGCGUGUAGCCGGGUUGACAAGUCAGAUGUGAAAUCCUGCGGCUUAACCGAAGGACUGCAUUUGAAACUGUUGAUCUUGAGUACUGGAGAGGCAGACGGAAUUCCUAGUGUAGCGGUGAAAUGCGUAGAUAUUAGGAGGAACACCAGUGGCGAAGGCGGUCUGCUGGACAGCAACUGACGGUGAGGCGCGAAAGCGUGGGGAGCAAACAGGAUUAGAUACCCGGGUAGUC